RNAcentral lists this long non-coding RNA (4687 nucleotides) under Canis lupus familiaris (dog). Its description in RNAcentral is "lncRNA (ENSCAFG00000055135.1)". The record is from RNAcentral. Lineage: Eukaryota; Metazoa; Chordata; Mammalia; Carnivora; Canidae.
UUUUUUUUUUUUUUUUUUUUUUUUUUUUAGGAAAUCAAACUCUAUCUCAAGCUUCUAAUUUGAACAACAACGAAAAGAAAUUUGCAUUCAGCUAAGGUCCCAGGGUUAAUCAACAGAAGAUAAGUUGCAAGUCUAGAGGAUUUUUAAAUUAGUAUAUAUUAGUUAAAUCUCCUAUUUAUCAGUGAACCACUAAGCCAUCAAGCAGAGGCCUCUUGUACCAGGAGUGUAUUGUUUCAACAGGACUUACAUUGCUCCCCACAAAAUUUGACUAAACUGAUCUAGGUAUCAAAUUCCUAUAUAUUCUGGGGGGAAAAAGAAGGUGGCAAUAAGCUUCCAGGUGUUCAAAAAUGACUUCCACCUAGGACAGUGUAGAAAGCAGCAGAACUGAUCUCAAUGCAGGCCCUCACCUGCUCCCUAGGACAUAUGAGAAGACCAGAGUGGGGAGUAUAUUUUCCUUCUGGAACAUACAAUGUUCAGCAGGUUCCCCCAGCGAGGUGUACUUCCACUCUCUGGUGCAAAUUUUAGGGGGUAUUAUAGGAAAAUAGCUUAAAAACUGGGGCAAAUACAAGAGAGGAACAUUUGUUUCCUCAAAUGGAAAUCUUCCCAGGCAGAGGGUUUGCUAGUCUGUCUUAUGACUAAGUUAACAUGGAAAAGAAAACUCAAGAGGAUUGGCCAAACAUCGAGAAGUGGUAGCAUUAUGAAAGUAUCUGUCCCCACUGUUUAAUAGAGCAAGGAGACAAGAGUUUAAGGAACAAAAGAACACAGAAAGCAGCUCUAGGACCAUUUGUAUGUAUCUAUCCAUGGGGACCACCUACAAAGUAAAAGGACCUUUAUUAGCAUAAGGCUGUGUGAUACAAAUGUCUAUGAGAACAUGCUCUUGGGAUGUUAUCAAUGCCACUGGCCAAAUAUAUGACUUCUGCUUCCAAGUACAUGACGGGAUUACCCUUAAAUGCUACAUGGAUGGAACUGGAGGGUAUUAUGCAGAGUGAAAUAAGUCAAUUGGAGAAGGACAAACAUUAUAUGGUCUCAUUCAUUUGGGGAAUAUAAAGAAUAGUGAAAGGGAAUAAAGGGGAAAGGAGAAAAAAUAAGUGGGAAAUAUCAGAAAGGGAAACAGAACAUGAAAGACUCCUAACUCUGGGAAACGAACUAGGGGUGGUGGAAGGAGAGGUGGGCGGGGGGUGGGGUUGACUGGAUGAUAGGCACUGAGGUGGGUACUUGAUGGGAUGAGCACUGGGUGUUAUUCUAUAUGUUGACAAAUUGAACACCAAUAAAAAAUAAAUUUAUUUUAAAAAAUGCUCCCAUGUAAGUGGAGUCUGGCCAUGUGACUUUCUUGCUAAAAAAAAAAAAAAAAAGAAAAAGAAAAAAAAAACAAGAGUGUCUCAUCUAAGAUGCCUUGAGUUGCUAAUGCAGGCUCUGCAGCAUAACAGUUAUGAAAGCAUGGAAAUGGAGUCUUCAUCAGCCUGCUGUCCUAAGGACAAGAUCAGAGCUACUACCAACCCAUGAGAGAUGUGCAGCAUGAGGGAAAAAUAAGCAUUCACUAUUUUAAGACAAAAAGCAUGACUAUUUGUUACCACAGCAUGAACUAACUCAUCCUGACUGAUAAAAAGGGGAGAGGAACAAAAGGGAGGGAUCUAGAGUCAAACUAUCACAUCAGGGAGUCAUGUAAUAGGCAGGUCCUUGCCUAGCCCUCCAGAAGAGGCCACCUUGACACUGACCUUGGGAGGAAGAGGGCUAAGUCAUCAAUUAUAUAUUCAGCACAACACUGGCUCCUUAAGCCACAAGUCUAUACUAUGCAAGUAAAGAGAAAAAGAUUUUCCAAAUUGGAUAUGAGAUGGAAGUUUCAACAUCCACUGGACUUGGUUUUAAAACCAAAAAUGAUGGCAAACUAUAGAAUCCCCCUGAGAUGGUAGUAAGGGAAAGCAGCAAUUAAAAAUAAACAAAAUUGUCUCAUGUUUAUUUCCCAAACUGAAAUUCCUCAAUAAGCUGGUUGCUCAUACAUGUUUGAUAAACAAGGACAUGUGUUUAUGACUGGUCUCAGAAAACUGCAGCUGUUCACAUUUGCUCUCCUUAAAAAACACACAGGCACAUGCGCACGUGUACACACACACAUAUUACUGAAAUAAUUCAUAAAAGACAAUCAAUACUGCCCCAAGACAAUCAGUCCUCAUCAGCCCUAUCAACCACAGUACGUUAAUCCUAUUAUGUGGGCUUCCUGCUUCUUGCAGAGAUGAAGUUGUUUUUCUCUGCACAAAGAAGGUACACCCUACAGCGAAAGUGAAAAGAUUAGGAUAUCUGAAAAUAAUGUGUCUCAGAGAAGUAGAUUAGGACUCAACUAUUACCAUGAGAGGGGUGUACAGUGAAGUGCCAAAAUGUGGACCAUGGGCACAACAGGGAGGUGAUUCGUUAACAUGUAAAGGUUCUCCAACUUCCCACUCCGUUUUACCUACCCCCUACCCUCUAAAGAACAAUUGUGUCUUUUCUCAGCCUAGGAGUCAGGAGGGUAGCAAAGUACCUGAGAAGGCAGAGGACACCGCAGAAGUUUUAGCCAGGAAAGACUUGGUCAAACUAUAAAAUAAACUGCUGGGAGAAGAGGAAGGAAAAGGAGAGUUUUAUGGGAUUGUCAUAUAAAAGACUCCUGAGUAACAAAGGGACCAAAAGAAUGAGGAAGAGGAGACCAUCGUUUUUGAGAACUGUAGUUGUGCAUUAUGAAUCAGGUCUUCUUUAACAUACAUUGAAAGAUAGAAGGGAAAACUGGAAUUCCUUUUGAAACACUUUGGAUGUUGGACUAGACUGUGCAUCCUGAAUGGAAAUGCAAACAAAGCUUUGGUUGUGUGGGACCCUGGGAUUUAUUUGAGCAACCAAUAAUUCUGCAGAAACUCCUAUUUAACUGUUUAUCCAAGUAGAGCACCAGCUCCUUAGGGCCAAGAUUUAGUUUUGAAUUUCCACAUUCCUUAGUCUGGCACCAUGCCUAGCACAAAAGUAUUCAAUAAUUAAGAUGAUCUAGUCUCUCUCAAACUCCAAACUUUACGUGACCAAAAUAACACGAAAAAAGUGAUUCUUAACCUGCUCCCCUUAUCCCUAUAACAACUGAGUUUCUUGCCUAUGUACCAACAUCUGUUAUCUCUGCAGAGGCUCAGCUACCCUGCAGGUCAGUUCUAUGUGUUCUGAAAACACCUCACAUAAAUACUAACCCUGGGGACGCCUGGGUGGCUCAGCUGUUGGGCAUCUGCCUUUGGCUCAGGGCGUGGUCCUGGGGUCUUGGAAUUGAGUCCCAUAUCAGGCUCCCUGUGUGGAGCCUGCUUCUCCCUAUGCCUAUGUCUCUGCCUCUCUGUCUCUCUCUGUCUCUCAUGAAUAAAUAAAAUAUUUUUUAAAAAAUAAAUAAAUACUAACUCUGUGUAGGGAAGAAAAAAGUCCCUGAAAAAAACCACUGUAGAAGGUAUGUUUGGGUAAUAGUAGUAGACAAAUACAAACAGAGCAGCAAAGUCAGCUACAGGUUUAUAUAAACUUCACAAAGGAAGAGGUCUUCCAGAAUUAUGGAAAGGAGAGCAGAGGUGUAAUCACAGAGGUUUUCUUUUCUUUCCUCCCUGCCUCCUCAAGUAUGCCCAAGAACUCAGUGGACCUUUUGACAUUAACUCAAGGCUAGAAAGGUCUUAGCUUAGCUUAGCAGCUUGGCUUAGCAUUGCAUAGGAGUUAUGUUGGCAGCAAGUUAAUCCUCCAGGUAAUAAAGGUCUUUCAGACCCUACAAAAAAGAAGACCUUUUCUCCAUACCUCCACACAUGCCUAACAUCCAACCUUCCCAGGAAUGAGACCAAACAGGGCAGAGACAGCAACCCAUGCUGGAUGUAAGGGACAGUAAUUGGUGAGGCUUGAGGAUAGAUGCAGUGUAAAGGGGGGGGGGGGGAGAAGAAGAGUGGUUUUUACAGGGGAGAGGGACACAGUAAAAAUGCCCAAGGACAUUUCCACGGAAUAGGGUACAUUGUACACCCCAUACUCCUGAGCUAAGUGUUCAUAUCCAUGAACAGAAGAUAGAGAAAUACCCAAACAGUCAUGAUACAUUACUCUUCCCAUCUCCACUAACAUAUGAACUCAGUGUGGACUCAUAUCUACUCAAAUCAGAAGCAAAGGCUUCAAAGGAUAUCCAUUAGGAAGCUGAGUGGACUGAACCACUUUCUUCUGGGCUGUGCCCCUUUCCAUUUGCAAGUAAGAGUGCUACAAUGACACAGAGUAAGAGAAAAGGCUCCCAGUACAACCUUAAAUAUGUACUGCACAUUCGGCAGCCUCGGAAAGACCAGAAUCCAUCAGCCUAAGGUCCUGGAAGGCAGGAACUCACAAUCCAGAUGCACCUCUAAUAGACAAAACAAGAACUCAACCUGAGGAAUGCGUAACCCAGUAUAGAGCCAUGGAGUGGCUCUGGCUGUCAGUGCUACAGAAUUCAGAGGAGCAGAUCAUUAAAAUUUGCUGAACAGUAUACAAAAAAGAAAAGAGUUGUGAACAGAGAUCAUUUUGUUGGAAAUAAUGGCUACUACUCGGGAUGCGUGGUGAAACAAGAUCCAAGGGAGAGUAACCAGGCCAUCCAUCUGGAGAUUGCCACUUCUUUUAGGGAAGAGAAAUAUUUUUAAACUGAAUUUUCCCACUCCUCAGGGAAACAAAAUCAAAUAGCCUCUCUGAUUCACAGUGCAGCCAAUUU